This 255-nucleotide ribosomal RNA is filed under the name uncultured bacterium. RNAcentral describes it as "partial 16S ribosomal RNA". It matches the Rfam family "Bacterial small subunit ribosomal RNA", at positions 524 to 776 of the family's 1533-position model. The record is from RNAcentral.
UACGUAGGGUGCAAGCGUUAAUCGGAAUUACUGGGCGUAAAGCGUGCGCAGGCGGUUUUGUAAGUCUGUCGUGAAAGCCCCGGGCUCAACCUGGGAAUUGCGAUGGAGACUGCAAGGCUUGAAUCUGGCAGAGGGGGGUAGAAUUCCACGUGUAGCAGGUGAAAUGCGUAGAGAUGUGGAGGAACACCGAUGGCGAAGGCAGCCCCCCUGGGUCAAGAUUGACGCUCAUGCACGAAAGCGUGGGGAGCAAACAGG